RNAcentral lists this ribosomal RNA (492 nucleotides) under uncultured bacterium. RNAcentral's name for it is "partial 16S ribosomal RNA". It matches the Rfam family "Bacterial small subunit ribosomal RNA", at positions 29 to 507 of the family's 1533-position model. The record is from RNAcentral.
AGUGAACGCUGGCGGUAGGCCUAACACAUGCAAGUCGAACGGCAGCACAGUAAGAGCUUGCUCUUACGGGUGGCGAGUGGCGGACGGGUGAGGAAUACAUCGGAAUCUACUUUUUCGUGGGGGAUAACGUAGGGAAACUUACGCUAAUACCGCAUACGACCUACGGGUGAAAGCAGGGGAUCUUCGGACCUUGCGCGAUUGAAUGAGCCGAUGUCGGAUUAGCUAGUUGGCGGGGUAACGGCCCACCAAGGCGACAAUCCGUAGCUGGUCUGAGAGGAUGAACAGCCACACUGGAACUGAAACACGGUCCAGACUCCUACGGGAGUCAGCAGUGGGGAAUAUUGGACAAUGGGCGCAAGCCUGAUCCAGCCAUACCGCGUGGGUGAAGAAGGCCUUCGGGUUGUAAAGCCCUUUUGUUGGGAAAGAAAAGCAGCAGGUUAAUACCCCGCUGUUCUGACGGUACCCAAAGAAUAAGCACCGGCUAACUUCGUG